This 468-nucleotide ribosomal RNA is filed under the name uncultured bacterium. Its description in RNAcentral is "partial 16S ribosomal RNA". It matches the Rfam family "Bacterial small subunit ribosomal RNA", at positions 28 to 507 of the family's 1533-position model. The record is from RNAcentral.
GACGAACGCUGGCGGCGUGCUUAACACAUGCAAGUCGAACGGAAAGGCCCUGCUUUUGUGGGGUGCUCGAGUGGCGAACGGGUGAGUAACACGUGAGUAACCUGCCCUUGACUUUGGGAUAACUUCAGGAAACUGGGGCUAAUAUCGGAUAGGAGCUCCUGCUGCAUGGUGGGGGAUGGAAAGUUUCGGCGGUUGGGGAUCGACUCGCGGCUUAUCAGCUUGUUGGUGGGGUAGUGACUUACCAAGGCUUUGACGGGUAGCCGGCAUGAGAGGGUGAACGGCCACAAGGGGACUAAGAGACGGCCCAGACGCCUACGGGAGGCAGCAGUGGAGAAUAUUGCGCAAUGGGCGGAAGCCUGAUGCAGCAACGCCGCGUGCGGGAUGACGUCCUUCGGGUUGUAAACCGCUUUCUCCUGUGACGAAGCGUGAGUGACGGUAAUGGGUAAAAAAGCACCGGCUAACUACGUG